Long non-coding RNA from Dermochelys coriacea (leatherback sea turtle), 174 nucleotides. RefSeq lists it as uncharacterized. The record is from RefSeq and is a predicted model, not a curated record. Lineage: Eukaryota; Metazoa; Chordata; Testudines; Dermochelyidae. The transcript is spliced from 3 exons.
GGGGUAUUUGGGAGGAAGCUGGGGGGCUGGAGGCAGAUCUGGGGGGCUGGAGUAUUUGGGGAAGCUGGGGGCUGGAGGCAGAUCUGGAGGCUGGGGUGUUUGGAGGUGACUGGAGUUUGGGAGAGAUGAUGCAGAGGGGGAACCUGUUCCUUUCAAGGGGCAUGGUCUGUGGGU